AUACUAUUACCUCUGUCCCAAAUUACCUGUCUUAGAUUUCAUUUGUCUAGAUACGGAUGUAUCUAACAGUAAAACAUGUCUAGAUACAUCCUUAUCUAGACAAAUCUAAGACAAGUAAUUCAGGACGGACGGAGUAGUAA
Hordeum vulgare subsp. vulgare (domesticated barley) is the source of this 140-nucleotide non-coding RNA. Lineage: Eukaryota; Viridiplantae; Streptophyta; Magnoliopsida; Poales; Poaceae. The record is from Rfam.